UGAAUUAGCAAUGCCAAGAGAGGC
RNAcentral lists this non-coding RNA (24 nucleotides) under Rattus norvegicus (Norway rat). Lineage: Eukaryota; Metazoa; Chordata; Mammalia; Rodentia; Muridae. The record is from RNAcentral.